CAGCACAGACAUCAGGGUGGUGUAUACUGUAUUUCAAAAUUCUUUGCGGAAUUGAGUGUCGAUCUACAUGAUCUACAUUUUCAGCCAAAUGUAAUUGGCAAUCUGACAUAUAAUUACACUUGGCCAAAUGUGAUGACGUGAGUCGAAACUGCUGUCCAUUUUCGGCAUUUUGUCGAAACGUCGGUCAUUGUUAGCUGUAUUGUAUCAUGUCGUGCCGAAACACUUCAGAGCUAGUCGGAGAUGGAGAACCCUUUGCUCAACUGUUGCAGAAAAAUUGAGAACAUGACAAUGUCAUCUGAGGUUCAUGGAUGUUGUAUCUUAAAUGUGGUUGUGUUGCAGCCAGCUGGUGAGAAAGAUGUGUUUGAGUCAAGUUGAGCUGCAGACAGUUUAUCGAACUGGUGUUAUCCCAAGUGUCACUGCAGGAAAACUUCUUUAAUUGGAGUUCAUGCUCAGUUUGAGCUGUUUGCGGUGUUGCUGUUUGGUGUACAGUGGUUUUGCAGUCCCUUUCCAGUUGAUAGAUGCUCUGAAAUGGAGCUUUUGCAGACUUGCAGUUCAACAUCACACUUAAAUGUGUCAUUUGUCUACGUUGGUGUCCAUGCAGUAUAUGCAGUGUUGAACAGUUGGGUAAAAUAGUCUAUGCUGCGAUUGCUGCCUGAUGGCUGUCGGUCUUAUUUUAUCGGUUGCAUUUUGUCUAAUGCCGUCUCUUGCUGCCUGUACCGGCAUUGAGUUGAAUCGUUUGCUGUCGUUCCAUAGACUUGAUCCAUUGGUAGAACUGAGGAGAGGCUGCUGAAAUUCAAGACUCGUCAAUAAAUUAUGUAGAUGUAGACAAAUUACAGAUGCGCAAACACGAAUGUUAUGAAUUUCGUUUUGGGGUCAAUGGAGUUGGCGCUGGUUGCCGAACGUUACUUACUGGCCUUUUGCGACGUCUUGAUAUCAGUUUGGAAUAAUAAAUAGCUCUGGACUCUGGGGAAUCCUCACUCAUACUUGAGUCAACCUGCAGACAGGUCGGCCAGUUUGUCCAGACAGGAUGUCCUUCACGCUCGAAGGUCACGAGAAACAUUACGUAAAACUGGCAUGUGGUGGUUUAGAGGUUGGGUGAGAACGACACGUGUUUCAACAUUAUCAAGCAGACCCAUCCCCAGCAACGUCACUUGCAGAAGGAAAGG
Long non-coding RNA from Daphnia pulex (common water flea), 1166 nucleotides. RefSeq lists it as uncharacterized. The transcript is spliced from 8 exons. Lineage: Eukaryota; Metazoa; Arthropoda; Branchiopoda; Diplostraca; Daphniidae. The record is from RefSeq and is a predicted model, not a curated record.